Non-coding RNA from Habropoda laboriosa, 46 nucleotides. Lineage: Eukaryota; Metazoa; Arthropoda; Insecta; Hymenoptera; Apidae. The record is from Rfam.
AAUAUGGUCCUUUUCAGGACCACCAAAUCUUUCAAAUGUACAUAUG